GAUGAACGCUAGCGGCAGGCUUAACACAUGCAAGUCGAGGGGCAGCAUGAGACGGAGAUUCGUCGAAGUCUUGAUGGCGACCGGCGCAAGGGUGCGUAACGCGUGAGCAACUUGCCCGUUUCAGGGGGAUAACCGGUGGAAACGCCGACUAAUACCCCAUGGUAUGUUUUUAAGGCAUCUUUUAAACAUUAAAGAAUUUCGGAAACGGAUAGGCUCGCGUGACAUUAGCUAGAUGGCGGGGUAACGGCCCACCAUGGCGACGAUGUCUAGGGGUUCUGAGAGGAAGGUCCCCCACACUGGAACUGAGACACGGUCCAGACUCCUACGGGAGGCAGCAGUGAGGAAUAUUGGGUCAAUGGUCGAGAGACUGAACCAGCCAUGCCGCGUGAAGGUGACGGCCCUAUGGGUCUUAAACUUCUUUUGCGAGGGAGCAAUAAGGCGCACGUGUGCGUCGAUGAGAGUACCUCGCGAAUAAGCAUCGGCUAACUCCGUGCCAGCAG
RNAcentral lists this ribosomal RNA (500 nucleotides) under uncultured bacterium. RNAcentral describes it as "bacterial SSU rRNA". It matches the Rfam family "Bacterial small subunit ribosomal RNA", at positions 28 to 514 of the family's 1533-position model. The record is from RNAcentral.